This 484-nucleotide ribosomal RNA is filed under the name uncultured bacterium. RNAcentral's name for it is "partial 16S ribosomal RNA". It matches the Rfam family "Bacterial small subunit ribosomal RNA", at positions 30 to 507 of the family's 1533-position model. The record is from RNAcentral.
AUUGAACGCUAGCGGGAUGCUUUACACAUGCAAGUCGAACGGCAGCGCGGACUUCGGUCUGGCGGCGAGUGGCGAACGGGUGAGUAAUGUAUCGGAACGUGCCCAGUAGCGGGGGAUAACUACGCGAAAGCGUAGCUAAUACCGCAUACGCCCUACGGGGGAAAGCAGGGGAUCGUAAGACCUUGCACCAUUGGAGCGGCCGAUAUCGGAUUAGCUAGUUGGUGAGGUAACGGCUCACCAAGGCGACGAUCCGUAGCUGGUUUGAGAGGACGACCAGCCACACUGGGACUGAGACACGGCCCAGACUCCUACGGGAGGCAGCAGUGGGGAAUUUUGGACAAUGGGGGCAACCCUGAUCCAGCCAUCCCGCGUGUGCGAUGAAGGCCUUCGGGUUGUAAAGCACUUUUGGCAGGAAAGAAACGUCGCGGGCUAAUACCCCGUGGAACUGACGGUACCUGCAGAAUAAGCACCGGCUAACUACGUG